UGUUCGGAAGAGCCAGAAAGCUCAUUUGCACAAGUAGUCCACGGUCUUCUGUCUGUUUUCCGUAGAAAAGCGCUGUAACAUGGAAAUAUGGCUACGUGGGACCCUAACCCUAUAGAAAAGACCUGGUGUGUCAUCACCCCCGCACGCCUUCCCUGUCUUCUGGAGGGUCCAAUAUCAAUGAGGAGCCAUCCUGAAGACACACAUAACAUGAUGUAGCCAUCACCAUGAUUGAAAAUAUGAAGAGUGGUCAAGACUUCCGCCGAAGUCGGUUCCUCUCCUUGUUCGGGCGGCGUUCGGCGGUCGACGUCACCGGUCUUCUAGCCAUCGCCGAACCACCUUUCAUUUUCCAUUUGUUUUGUCUUGUUUUCCCACACACCUGGUUUACAUUCCCUCAUUACGAGAUGUGUAUUUAACCCUUUGUUCCCCCCAUGUUUGUGUGUGGAAUUGUUUGUUGUAAAGUGUAUUGUGCACUUCAGACUGGUUUGCGACGGGUUAUUUCAACCCAUAUUUGGUUGUUCUGGGUGCCGUUGGUUUUGCCUCAUUAAACUGCUCCGGUUAUUACCCAGUUCUGCUCUCCUGCGCCUGACUUCCCUGUAGACAGUUACUCACCUCUUACAAGAGUGGUACUUAGUAAUGUGUUGUAUUGGGUUUGCCCCUGACACAACUCUUUGUACUCAAGACAAAAAGUGAAUUGCUUUGCCACCUUUUUUUGCAAUAUUGCUUUAGUGCCUUGUUGCUAACAGGAUGCAUGUUUUGGAAUAUUUUUGUUCUGUACAGGCUUCCUUCUUUUCACUCUGUCAUUUAGGUUAGUAUU
Long non-coding RNA from Oncorhynchus nerka (sockeye salmon), 814 nucleotides. RefSeq lists it as uncharacterized. The transcript is spliced from 3 exons. NCBI's taxonomy places the organism in Eukaryota, Metazoa, Chordata, Actinopteri, Salmoniformes, Salmonidae. The record is from RefSeq and is a predicted model, not a curated record.